UUCAGAACGUCGUGAGACAGUUCGGUCCCUAUCCGUCGCGGGCGUUGGAAAUUUGAGAGGAGCUGUCCUUAGUACGAGAGGACCGGGAUGGACUUACCGCUGGUGUACCAGUUGUUCUGCCAAGGGCAUUGCUGGGUAGCUAUGUAGGGAAGGGAUAAACGCUGAAAGCAUCUAAGUGUGAAGCCCACCUCAAGAUGAGAUUUCCCAUUUCUUUAAGAAAGUAAGAUCCCUGAGAGAUGAUCAGGUAGAUAGGUCAGGAGUGGAAGUACAGUGAUGUAUGGAGCGGACUGAUACUAAUCGAUCGAGGACUUAACCAAAA
This 319-nucleotide ribosomal RNA is filed under the name Enterococcus mundtii. RNAcentral describes it as "bacterial LSU rRNA". It matches the Rfam family "Bacterial large subunit ribosomal RNA", at positions 2610 to 2925 of the family's 2925-position model. Lineage: Bacteria; Bacillati; Bacillota; Bacilli; Lactobacillales; Enterococcaceae. The record is from RNAcentral.